CGGCGAGUGAAGCGGCAACAGCUCAAAUUUGAAAUCUGGCCCCUGGGGCCCGAGUUGUAAUUUGCAGAGGAUGCUUUUGGCGAGGUGCCUUCCGAGUUCCCUGGAACGGGACGCCACAGAGGGUGAGAGCCCCGUCUGGUUGGACGCCGAGCCUCUGUAAAGCUCCUUCGACGAGUCGAGUAGUUUGGGAAUGCUGCUCUAAAUGGGAGGUAUAUGUCUUCUAAAGCUAAAUAUUGGCCAGAGACCGAUAGCGCACAAGUAGAGUGAUCGAAAGAUGAAAAGCACUUUGAAAAGAGAGUUAAAUAGUACGUGAAAUUGUUGAAAGGGAAGCGCUUGUGACCAGACUUGGGCCCGGUGAAUCAUCCAGCGUUCUCGCUGGUGCACUUUGCCGGUGCCCAGGCCAGCAUCAGUUUGCCCCGGGGGAUAAAGGCUUUGGGAAUGUGGCUCCCCAGGGAGUGUUAUAGCCCACUGCACAAUACCCUGUGGCGGACUGAGGUUCGCGCAUCUUGCAAGGAUGCUGGCGUAAUGGUCAUCAGCGACCCGUCUUGAAACACGGACCAAGGAGUCGUCUUCGUAUGCGAGUGUUCGGGUGUCAAACCCCUACGCGUAAUGAAAGUGAACGCAGGUGAGAGCUUCGGCGCAUCAUCGACCGAUCCUGAUGUUCUCGGAUGGAUUUGAGUAAGAGCAUACGGGGCCGGACCCGAAAGAAGGUGAACUAUGCCUGUAUAGGGUGAAGCCAGAGGAAACUCUGGUGGAGGCUCGCAGCGGUUCUGACGUGCAAAUCGAUCGUCAAAUAUGGGCAUGGGGGCGAAAGACUAAUCGAACCUUCUAGUAGCUGGUUUC
RNAcentral lists this ribosomal RNA (843 nucleotides) under Metarhizium sp. MY00896. Its description in RNAcentral is "LSU rRNA". It matches the Rfam family "Eukaryotic large subunit ribosomal RNA", at positions 87 to 958 of the family's 3401-position model. Lineage: Eukaryota; Fungi; Ascomycota; Sordariomycetes; Hypocreales; Clavicipitaceae. The record is from RNAcentral.